Long non-coding RNA from Micropterus salmoides (largemouth bass), 284 nucleotides. RefSeq lists it as uncharacterized. Lineage: Eukaryota; Metazoa; Chordata; Actinopteri; Centrarchiformes; Centrarchidae. The record is from RefSeq and is a predicted model, not a curated record. The transcript has 2 exons.
GACACAUUUGAGGCUGUUCAGUGUAGAAUGUGCAGGUUUGCUUUUGGGUGAAGGAGAAAAGUGUGAGUGGAAGCUGCUGACUGGGUCAACAGAGGCUGAAGACUGAGGAGACAUGCAAGCUGUGAUUGGACUGUUUCUGAUGCUACUUGGAGUCUCUCAUGGUGUGGAAACAUGUGAUGGCAGACAGGAUGGAGCUCAGUGUUAUGGAGCUUUGGGAGGAACUGUGGUCCUCCAGCUGAUGGACAGCGCCUCAGAAAUAUUUAAAUACCAAUGAAAAACAAACA